Molecule: ribosomal RNA, 845 nt
Filed under: Cadophora novi-eboraci
Lineage: Eukaryota; Fungi; Ascomycota; Leotiomycetes; Helotiales; Ploettnerulaceae
Description: partial large subunit ribosomal RNA
Rfam family: Eukaryotic large subunit ribosomal RNA
Source: RNAcentral
CAGGGAUUACCUCAGUAACGGCGAGUGAAGCGGUAGCAGCUCAAAUUUGAAAGCUAGCUCUUCUAGGGUUCGCAUUGUAAUUUGUAGAAGAUGCUUCGGGUGUGGCCCCGGUCUAAGUUCCUUGGAACAGGACGUCAUAGAGGGUGAGAAUCCCGUAUGUGACUGGGUGCUUUCGCUCAUGUGAAGCUCUUUCGACGAGUCGAGUUGUUUGGGAAUGCAGCUCAAAAUGGGUGGUAAAUUUCAUCUAAAGCUAAAUAUUGGCCAGAGACCGAUAGCGCACAAGUAGAGUGAUCGAAAGAUGAAAAGCACUUUGGAAAGAGAGUUAAACAGUACGUGAAAUUGUUGAAAGGGAAGCGCUUGCAACCAGACUUGCGCGCUGAUGAUCAUCCGGGCUUCUGCCCGGUGCACUCGUCUGCGCUCAGGCCAGCAUCGGUUUCGGUGGUGGGAUAAAGGCCUUGGGAAUGUAGCUUCUUUCGGGGAGUGUUAUAGCCCUCGGUGCAAUGCCGCCUACCGGGACCGAGGACCGCGCUUCGGCUAGGAUGCUGGCGUAAUGGUUGUAAGCGACCCGUCUUGAAACACGGACCAAGGAGUCUAACAUCUAUGCGAGUGUUUGGGUGUCAAACCCAUACGCGUAAUGAAAGUGAACGGAGGUGAGAACCCUUAAGGGUGCAUCAUCGACCGAUCCUGAUGUCUUCGGAUGGAUUUGAGUAAGAGCAUAGCUGUUGGGACCCGAAAGAUGGUGAACUAUGCGUGAAUAGGGUGAAGCCAGAGGAAACUCUGGUGGAGGCUCGCAGCGGUUCUGACGUGCAAAUCGAUCGUCAAAUUUGCGUAUAGGGCGAAAGACU